Molecule: long non-coding RNA, 296 nt
Filed under: Rattus norvegicus (Norway rat)
Lineage: Eukaryota; Metazoa; Chordata; Mammalia; Rodentia; Muridae
Description: long non-coding RNA NONRATT031448
Source: RNAcentral
CUCAGGUUUAGCUGGAGAACUGGGUUCUCUAAAUCCAUUUGCAUGAGCAGACACUCCUGUCACCAUUUGAAGGUGCCCUUUUACCCUUCAAAGGUUUCAAAGCCUGUCACUGCGUAUGCACGCUAACAAGCAUUUGGAAACCAUUCUAGCCACUUCCAAUGUCAAAGACUUGUGUUUCCUCAACUCAGGAGAGUGGUGUCCUGCGCUCGGAUUGUACUUCCUGCAUUGAGAAAGUGUCCCCCAGUAAGAAACCUACAGCAAAGUGAGGCAAGUGUGUUUCUCUCAGCCAUCAUUUA